UGGGGAAUAUUGCACAAUGGGCGCAAGCCUGAUGCAGCCAUGCCGCGUGUGUGAAGAAGGCCUUCGGGUUGUAAAGCACUUUCAGCGAGGAGGAAGGUGGUGAACUUAAUACGUUCAUCAAUUGACGUUACUCGCAGAAGAAGCACCGGCUAACUCCGUGCCAGCAGCCGCGGUAAUACGGAGGGUGCAAGCGUUAAUCGGAAUUACUGGGCGUAAAGCGCNCCAGGCGGUUUGUUAAGUCAGAUGUGAAAUCCCCGGGCUCAACCUGGGAACUGCAUUUGAAACUGGCAAGCUAGAUCUCGUAGAGGGGGGCUAGAAUUCCAGGUGUAGCGGUGAAAUGCGUAGAGAUCUGGAGGAAUACCGGUGGCGAAGGNGCCCCCUGGANGAAGACUGACGCUCAGGUGCGAAAGCAUGGGGAGCAAACAGGUUAGAUACCCUGGUAGUCCACG
Molecule: ribosomal RNA, 449 nt
Filed under: uncultured bacterium
Lineage: Bacteria
Description: partial 16S ribosomal RNA
Rfam family: Bacterial small subunit ribosomal RNA
Source: RNAcentral